CAGUGUAGGCGAACGGUGCUUGAAGGGCCGGCCGUAGACGGGUGUGAGUCCCGUAGCCGUAACGCUGGUCUGCCGUCCUUGCCCGGUGUCCCCAAGUAGCACGGGGGCCCCGAGGAAUCCCGUGCGAAUCUGUCAGGACCACCUGAUAAGCCUGAAUACUACCCGAUGACCGAUAGCGGACAAGUACCGUGAGGGAAAGGUGAAAAGUACCCCGGGAGGGGAGUGAAACAGUACCUGAAACCGUGCGCCUACAAACCGUCAGAGCCGGCCCCGUCGGGGGUGCGGUGAUGGCGUGCCUUUUGAAGAAUGAGCCUGCGAGUCAGUGCCACGUCGCGAGGUUAACCCGUGUGGGGGAGCCGUAGCGAAAGCGAGUCUGAACAGGGCGUUCAGUGGCGUGGUCUGGACCCGAAGCGGAGUGAUCUACCCAUGGCCAGGUUGAAGCGACGGUAAGACGUCGUGGAGGACCGAACCCACUUCAGUUGAAAAUGGAGGGGAUGAGCUGUGGGUAGGGGUGAAAGGCCAAUCAAACUCCGUGAUAGCUGGUUCUCCCCGAAAUGCAUUUAGGUGCAGCGUUGCGUGUUUCUUGCCGGAGGUAGAGCUACUGGAUGGCCGAUGGGCCCCACAAGGUUACUGACGUCAGCCAAACUCCGAAUGCCGGUAAGUGAGAGCGCAGCAGUGAGACUGCGGGGGAUAAGCUUCGUAGUCGAGAGGGAAACAGCCCGGACCACCGGCUAAGGCCCCCAAGCGUGUGCUAAGUGGGAAAGGAUGUGGAGUUGCCCAGACAACCAGGAGGUUGGCUUAGAAGCAGCCACCCUUGAAAGAGUGCGUAAUAGCUCACUGGUCAAGUGAUUCCGCGCCGACAAUGUAGCGGGGCUCAAGCACACCGCCGAAGCCGUGGCAGUCCCACGUGCACCCUAGCCUUCGUGGUUCAGGGUGGGGCUGGGUAGGGGAGCGUC
This 956-nucleotide ribosomal RNA is filed under the name Methylobacterium radiotolerans. Its description in RNAcentral is "bacterial LSU rRNA". It matches the Rfam family "Bacterial large subunit ribosomal RNA", at positions 325 to 1240 of the family's 2925-position model. The record is from RNAcentral. Lineage: Bacteria; Pseudomonadati; Pseudomonadota; Alphaproteobacteria; Hyphomicrobiales; Methylobacteriaceae.